CGGGGUGCAGCAGGCGCGAAAACUUUACAAUGCUAGCAACAGCGAUAAGGGGACCUCGAGUGCCAGGAUACAAUCUUGGCUGUCGUGAUGCCUAAAAAGCAUUACAUAGCAAGGGCCGGGCAAGACCGGUGCCAGCCGCCGCGGUAACACCGGCGGCUCGAGUGGUAACCGCUAUUAUUGGGUCUAAAGGGUCUGUAGCCGGCCGGAUAAGUCUCUUGGGAAAUCCAGCAGCUCAACUGUUGGGCUUCCAGGGGAUACUGUUCGGCUCGAGGCCGGGAGAGGUGAGAGGUACUUCAGGGGUAGGGGUGAAAUCUUGUAAUCCUUGAAGGACCACCAGUGGCGAAGGCGUCUCACCAGAACGGUCCUGACGGCAAGGGACGAAAGCUAGGGGCACGAACCGGAUUAGAUACCCGGGUAGUCCUAGCCGUAAACGAUACUCGCUAGGUGUCGGCCACGGUGCGACCGUGGUCGGUGCCGUAGGGAAGCCGUGAAGCGAGCCACCUGGGAAGUACGGCCGCAAGGCUGAAACUUAAAGGAAUUGGCGGGGGAGCAC
RNAcentral lists this ribosomal RNA (553 nucleotides) under uncultured archaeon. Its description in RNAcentral is "bacterial SSU rRNA". It matches the Rfam family "Archaeal small subunit ribosomal RNA", at positions 326 to 879 of the family's 1478-position model. The record is from RNAcentral.